GUUAAGAAUCUUGCGCAAUGGGCGCAAGCCUGACGCAGCGACGCCGCGUGGACGAUGAAGGCCUUCGGGUUGUAAAGUCCGUUAAGCAGGGAAGAAUAAGCAACGGGAAAUAUUCGUUGUGAUGACGGUACCUGCCUAAAGCCCCGGCUAACUACGUGCCAGCAGCCGCGGUAAUACGUAUGGGGCGAGCGUUGUUCGGAAUUAUUGGGCGUAAAGGGCGUCUAGGCGGGGGAUUAAGUUAGUUGUGAAAUCCAUGGGCUCAACCCAUGAACUGCAUCUAAAACUGAUUCUCUUGAGUUCUGGAGAGGAGAGCGGAAUUCCCGGUGUAGCGGUGAAAUGCGUAGAUAUCGGGAAGAACACCAGUGGCGAAGGCGGCUCUCUGGCCAAGAACUGACGCUGAAGCGCGAAAGCGUGGGGAGCGAACGGGAUUAGAUACCCGUGUAGUCC
Molecule: ribosomal RNA, 447 nt
Filed under: uncultured bacterium
Lineage: Bacteria
Description: bacterial SSU rRNA
Rfam family: Bacterial small subunit ribosomal RNA
Source: RNAcentral